Zingiber officinale is the source of this 596-nucleotide long non-coding RNA. RefSeq lists it as uncharacterized. The record is from RefSeq and is a predicted model, not a curated record. The transcript has 3 exons. Lineage: Eukaryota; Viridiplantae; Streptophyta; Magnoliopsida; Zingiberales; Zingiberaceae.
UAAAGGGAGUCGGGGAAAAAGGAAAAAGUUAGCCCUACCUUCAUUCAGCGCCAACUCCCCUCUCCCCAUGAGAUUUCCUUUGCUCGGUGCCAGCCUGCCUCAUAGACACCGCACUUGCGGAGGUCGACUCCCCGCAACCUUCUUCUCUUGGCAACCACUUCUGUUCGGCGCUAUGCCUUACUCUGACGCCCUUCUCCCUGUGACCCUGUGACCAACGGACGUGGUGUCGCAUCGCCAUGUCUAUCCGUUCACAUCCAGGCAGUGGCAUCAGGAGGGGGAAUUUCCAGAGGUCGAGACGCCAUUGACAGCCCAAGCCACUAAGAUCCACUGCCUCUAUCAGCCAUGGACAUCCACUACCAAAGAUGAAACCGAGGAUUUGAGCUCGAGAGAGAACACCAGACUUGAAGACUACUAGAACGUUCUACAUAUGAGGUAGGAAAUAAAGUCAUGUCGCUCGGAGAUCCUGGCUGUCGGCCCACGAUGUUCGAGAUGUCUUUAGUUUUAUUUUGUUGUCAACAUUUUAACUUUUUGGUAUUCAAAAUUUGCAUUUGGAAUUUAUUAUGAAAACAUUAUUUGUUUUACUUUUGUAAAUUCUC